AUGAUGCUUGUUAUUCUUGGCCACACUAAUGAGUUGUCUCAGUCAUUGCAAAAGAGUGAUCAAGAUAUUGUUAAUGCAAUGGCACUUGUUAGUUUGGCAAAGAAUAAAAUGCGACAUAUGAGGUCUCAUGUCUGGGAAGAAUUUCUUGCAAAGGUGACAUUGUUUUGCAACAAACAUGGAAUUGAAGUUCCUACACCGGAGGAUAAUUAUGUGCCUCAUGGAAGAUCACCUCGGUAUUAUGAAGUGCAAACAAAUGAUGAUCGUUAUAGAAGAGAAGUAUAUCUUGGUAUCCUUGAUCAAAUCAUUCAAGAUCUUGACAAUAGGUUUGAUGAGGUUAAUAUGGAGUUGCUUAUUUGCAUGUCUGCUUUGAACCCCGUCGAUUCAUUUGCUUCUUAUGAUGCACUCAAGGUAAUGAAACUUGCUGAAUUCUACCCCCCAGGACAUAUCAAGCAUGGAUUUGGUAAGGCUUGA
Molecule: ribosomal RNA, 471 nt
Filed under: Triticum aestivum (bread wheat)
Lineage: Eukaryota; Viridiplantae; Streptophyta; Magnoliopsida; Poales; Poaceae
Description: partial small subunit ribosomal RNA
Source: RNAcentral